Molecule: ribosomal RNA, 482 nt
Filed under: uncultured bacterium
Lineage: Bacteria
Description: partial 16S ribosomal RNA
Rfam family: Bacterial small subunit ribosomal RNA
Source: RNAcentral
AUUGAACGCUGGCGGCAUGCCUUACACAUGCAAGUCGAACGGUAUCGGGCCUUCGGGUGCCGACGAGUGGCGAACGGGUGAGUAAUACAUCGGAACGUGCCCGAUCGUGGGGGAUAACGAGGCGAAAGCUUUGCUAAUACCGCAUACGAUCUACGGAUGAAAGCAGGGGACCGCAAGGCCUUGCGCGGACGGAGCGGCCGAUGGCAGAUUAGGUAGUUGGUGGGAUAAAAGCUUACCAAGCCGACGAUCUGUAGCUGGUCUGAGAGGAUGAUCAGCCACACUGGGACUGAGACACGGCCCAGGCUCCUACGGGAGGCAGCAGUGGGGAAUUUUGGACAAUGGGCGCAAGCCUGAUCCAGCCAUGCCGCGUGCAGGAUGAAGGCCUUCGGGUUGUAAACUGCUUUUGUACGGAACGAAAAGCCUUCUUUUAAUACAGGAGGGUCAUGACGGUACCGUAAGAAUAAGCACCGGCUAACUACGUG